This 112-nucleotide ribosomal RNA is filed under the name Mustela putorius furo (domestic ferret). The record is from RNAcentral. Lineage: Eukaryota; Metazoa; Chordata; Mammalia; Carnivora; Mustelidae.
GUCUACGGCCAUACCACCCUGAACGCGCCCGAUCUCGUCUGAAAUCCUCUGGGGUAAAGUGAGCAUGGACUUCUUUGACUCAGGUGUUCAGACCCAGAAGAGGCUCUGGGGG